CCAAUAGCGUAUAUUAAAGUUGUUGUGGUUAAAAAGCUCGUAGUUGAACCUUGGGCCUGGCUGGCCGGUCCGCCUCACCGCGUGUACUGGUCCGGCCGGGCCUUUCCCUCUGUGGAACCUCAUGCCCUUCACUGGGUGUGACGGGGAAGCAGGACUUUUACUGUGAAAAAAUUAGAGUGCUCCAAGCAGGCCUAUGCUCGAAUACAUUAGCAUGGAAUAAUAAAAUAGGACGUGCGGUUCUAUUUUGUUGGUUUCUAGGACCGCCGUAAUGAUUAAUAGGGACCGUCGGGGGCAUCAGUAUUCAAUUGUCAGAGGUGAAAUUAUUGGAUUUAUUGAAGACUAACUACUGCGAAAGCAUUUGCCAAGGAUGUUUUCAUUAAUCAGGAACGAAAGUUAGGGGAUCGAAGACGAUCAGAUACCGUCGUAGUCUUAACCAUAAACUAUGCCGACUUGGGGUGGGUAAACGUUGACUUUAUUGACUUUAUUCGCACCAUAUG
This 497-nucleotide unclassified non-coding RNA is filed under the name uncultured Paraglomus. RNAcentral describes it as "SSU rRNA". It matches the Rfam family "Eukaryotic small subunit ribosomal RNA", at positions 591 to 1092 of the family's 1831-position model. Lineage: Eukaryota; Fungi; Glomeromycota; Glomeromycetes; Paraglomerales; Paraglomeraceae. The record is from RNAcentral.